UGUUUUCCUCCAUAGCCAAAGAAGGAGAAGGAAGUUUCUGCUGAAGCGGUAACUACAGAGAGCUUUUAACAGUGGGGCUAAUGACAGAGAGAGCAAAGCUGGCAUUAGAUAAGGACAAUUACACAAACCGAGGGACUUGAUGCUUUAAAGUCAUUAAUUCCAGGACCUUCCGGGCCGGUGAGAUGGGAAAACAAAUCGUUACAUUGACAUAGAUGAGGACUGGAGUGAAUGAGGAGGAAUCCACUGAGGCUGCAGAGAUCGCACGGAGAGUCUUCUGGAUGCUACCAUUGCUGUUACAUCUCACCCAGGAAAGAGACAACCAAGAGCCUGGCCUAUGCUUCCUUCCAUGGAGAGGGCACUAAAGGUCCGCAGCCUUCGUUCCUUGUGAACUGUCAUCACCAAUGAAACGUCUACAUGCCUGUGGCUGUCACUUCCUAGAGAUAGAUGUUCUUGCAGCAGAAACAAGUCGGGUGACUCCAAGAGGGCUGAAUCCUUUCACCAACCUGUUCCUGCUGGGCAAGUUCUGCCUGCCAAGAGAAAGGCCUGGAUGGGAGGGCCUGUCUUCCACGCCAGGGGGCAAAUCCUUGCCCAUAAAGCACUGUAGUAUUAUUAAACAUUUUCUAUUUGU
This is a long non-coding RNA of Apodemus sylvaticus (European woodmouse), 628 nucleotides long. RefSeq lists it as uncharacterized. The record is from RefSeq and is a predicted model, not a curated record. Lineage: Eukaryota; Metazoa; Chordata; Mammalia; Rodentia; Muridae. The transcript has 4 exons.